Molecule: ribosomal RNA, 1209 nt
Filed under: uncultured Bacteroidota bacterium
Lineage: Bacteria; Pseudomonadati; Bacteroidota
Description: bacterial SSU rRNA
Rfam family: Bacterial small subunit ribosomal RNA
Source: RNAcentral
CUGGUACUGAGACACGGACCAGACUCCUACGGGAGGCAGCAGUGAGGAAUAUUGGUCAAUGGACGAAAGUCUGAACCAGCUAUGCCGCGUGAAGGAAUGAAGGCUCUAUGGGUUGUAAACUUCUUUUUUAUGGGAAGAAACCCUCGAACGUGUUCGAGGCUGACGGUACCAUAAGAAUAAGCACCGGCUAACUCCGUGCCAGCAGCCGCGGUAAUACGGAGGGUGCAAGCGUUAUCCGGAUUUAUUGGGUUUAAAGGGUCCGUAGGCGGAUUAAUAAGUCAGUGGUGAAAGCCUACAGCUCAACUGUAGAACUGCCAUUGAUACUGUUAAUCUUGAGUUUGGUUGAGGUAAGCGGAAUGAGACAUGUAGCGGUGAAAUGCUUAGAUAUGUCUCAGAACACCAAUUGCGAAGGCAGCUUACUAAACCAAUACUGACGCUGAUGGACGAAAGCGUGGGGAGCGAACAGGAUUAGAUACCCUGGUAGUCCCACGCCGUAAACGAUGAUUACUCGUUGCUAGCGAUAUACUGUUARGUGACCAAGCGAAAGUGUUAAGUAAUCCACCUGGGGAGUACGAUCGCAAGAUUGAAACUCAAAGGAAUUGACCGGGGCCCGCACAAGCAGUGGAGCAUGUGGUUUAAUUCGAUGAUACGCGAGGAACCUUACCAGGGCUUAAAUGUGCUAUGACCUCUCGGGAAACCGAGAUUCUCUUCGGAGCAAAGUACAAGGUGCUGCAUGGUUGUCGUCAGCUCGUGCCGUGAGGUGUCGGGUUAAGUCCCAUAACGAGCGCAACCCCUAUCUUUAGUUGCCAGCGAGUAAUGUCGGGGACUCUAAAGAAACUGCCCGCGUAAGCGAGGAGGAAGGUGGGGAUGACGUCAAAUCAUCACGGCCCUUACGUCCUGGGCUACACACGUGCUACAAUGGUGCAUACAGAGGGCAGCAACCUGGUGACAGGAAGCGAAUCUCGAAAGUGCAUCUCAGUUCGGAUUGAAGUCUGCAACUCGACUUCAUGAAGCCGGAAUUGCUAGUAAUCGCGCAUCAGCCAUGGCGCGGUGAAUACGUUCCCGGGCCUUGUACACACCGCCCGUCAAGCCAUGGAAGCUGGGGGUGCCUGAAGUCGGUAACCGCAAGGAGCUGCCUAGGGUAAAACUGGUGACUGGGGCUAAGUCGUAACAAGGUAGCCGUAACCGGAAGGUGCGGCUGGAUCACCU